This 734-nucleotide ribosomal RNA is filed under the name uncultured Delftia sp. RNAcentral's name for it is "bacterial SSU rRNA". It matches the Rfam family "Bacterial small subunit ribosomal RNA", at positions 19 to 750 of the family's 1533-position model. The record is from RNAcentral. Lineage: Bacteria; Pseudomonadati; Pseudomonadota; Betaproteobacteria; Burkholderiales; Comamonadaceae.
AUGGCUCAGAUUGAACGCUGGCGGCAUGCCUUACACAUGCAAGUCGAACGGUAACAGGUCUUCGGACGCUGACGAGUGGCGAACGGGUGAGUAAUACAUCGGAACGUGCCCAGUCGUGGGGGAUAACUACUCGAAAGAGUAGCUAAUACCGCAUACGAUCUGAGGAUGAAAGCGGGGGACCUUCGGGCCUCGCGCGAUUGGAGCGGCCGAUGGCAGAUUAGGUAGUUGGUGGGAUAAAAGCUUACCAAGCCGACGAUCUGUAGCUGGUCUGAGAGGACGACCAGCCACACUGGGACUGAGACACGGCCCAGACUCCUACGGGAGGCAGCAGUGGGGAAUUUUGGACAAUGGGCGAAAGCCUGAUCCAGCAAUGCCGCGUGCAGGAUGAAGGCCUUCGGGUUGUAAACUGCUUUUGUACGGAACGAAAAAGCUUCUCCUAAUACGAGAGGCCCAUGACGGUACCGUAAGAAUAAGCACCGGCUAACUACGUGCCAGCAGCCGCGGUAAUACGUAGGGUGCGAGCGUUAAUCGGAAUUACUGGGCGUAAAGCGUGCGCAGGCGGUUAUGUAAGACAGAUGUGAAAUCCCCGGGCUCAACCUGGGAACUGCAUUUGUGACUGCAUGGCUAGAGUACGGUAGAGGGGGAUGGAAUUCCGCGUGUAGCAGUGAAAUGCGUAGAUAUGCGGAGGAACACCGAUGGCGAAGGCAAUCCCCUGGACCUGUACUGACGCUCUG